RNAcentral lists this ribosomal RNA (252 nucleotides) under uncultured bacterium. Its description in RNAcentral is "partial 16S ribosomal RNA". It matches the Rfam family "Bacterial small subunit ribosomal RNA", at positions 524 to 776 of the family's 1533-position model. The record is from RNAcentral.
UACGUAGGGGGCAAGCGUUGUCCGGAUUUAUUGGGCGUAAAGAGCGUGUAGGCGGCUUGGUAGGUCUUGCGUCAAAACCUGAGGCUCAACCUCAGUUCGCGUGGGAAACCAUCUAGCUAGAGUCCGGAAGAGGAGAACGGAAUUCCCAGUGUAGCGGUGAAAUGCGCAGAUAUUGGGAAGAACACCAGUGGCGAAGGCGGUUCUCUGGGACGGUACUGACGCUAAGGCGCGAAAGCGUGGGGAGCGAACAGG